RNAcentral lists this unclassified non-coding RNA (408 nucleotides) under uncultured fungus. RNAcentral's name for it is "sequence contains ITS1". The stretch from base 1 to 103 matches the Rfam family "5.8S ribosomal RNA", at positions 50 to 154 of the family's 154-position model. The record is from RNAcentral. Lineage: Eukaryota; Fungi.
GAAAUGCGAUACGUAAUGCGAAUUGCAGAACUCAGUGAAUCAUCAAAUCUUUGAACGCAAGUUGCGCUCUCGUUUGCGCGAGAGCAUGCCUCUUUCAGUAUCUUUUCCAUCACAACUCACCUGCGUGCCUUCUUUCACGAAAGUGCGUUCAGUGUGGAGAAUGAGUGCCUGGCUUGCGCCAGCUGCUUUAAGUGGAGUGAGCGACCGUGGCCGUCAAACGCCCCAUCUGCUCUUCUAGAAGUGACGUCGGUAAGGGUGCUUGUCUUUCGGGACUUGCUCCAUGCCUGCGUCUCGCUUCUGUGGGUAGGUGUGUGUCGUGUAUGGCAGGUCUGCAGUAAAUAUGCAGUCGCCUGGCAACAUACCCAACAUCUAGAUCUGAAAUGAGGUAGGAGGACCCGCUGAAUUUAA